GCCUUACAUGCAACACAUUGGUCUCAUAAGUGUAAAGAAUUUUUAUAAGUAGUGUGUUCAUUAAUGACAAUCAUUUUUUUAAUACAUCAGUAACCAUCAGUGUUAGAUUUUCAAGUAAAAAUUAGCUAUCUGAAACAGUUCAAAAAUAAAUUCUUGCCUGGGUGCUGACCACAAGGCACAUAUAUAACAAAAACAGCAUGUACUCACACAUGUUAACAAAUGUGGGGUUAAUGGUAUUGAGUGUUAUAAUAACAUGUGGAUUGAUG
Pelobates cultripes (western spadefoot toad) is the source of this 266-nucleotide non-coding RNA. Lineage: Eukaryota; Metazoa; Chordata; Amphibia; Anura; Pelobatidae. The record is from the annotation of a GenBank genome assembly.